CCUACGGGAGGCAGCAGUGGGGAAUAUUGCGCAAUGGGGGCAACCCUGACGCAGCAACGCCGCGUGAUUGAAGAAGGCCUUCGGGUUGUAAAGAUCUUUAAUCGGGGACGAAUUUUGACGCUACCCGAAGAAUAAGCUCCGGCUAAAUACGUGCCAGCAGCCUCGGUACUACGUAGGGACCGAGCGUUAUCCGGAUUUACGGGGUUUAAAGGGAUUGUAGGGGGGAAUGCAAGCCAGAAGUGAAAUCUGGGGGCUUAACCCGCAAACUGCUUUUGGAACUGGGUGUCUUGAGUGAUGGAGAGGCAGGCGGAAUUCCCAGUGUAGCGGUGAAAUGCGUAGAUAUUGGGAGGAACACCAGUGGCGAAGGCAGCCUGCUGGACAGUAACUGACGUUGAGGCGCGAAAGCGUGGGGAGCAAACAGGAUUAGAUACCCUAGUAGUC
Molecule: ribosomal RNA, 441 nt
Filed under: uncultured bacterium
Lineage: Bacteria
Description: partial 16S ribosomal RNA
Rfam family: Bacterial small subunit ribosomal RNA
Source: RNAcentral